Molecule: ribosomal RNA, 207 nt
Filed under: uncultured bacterium
Lineage: Bacteria
Description: partial 16S ribosomal RNA
Rfam family: Bacterial small subunit ribosomal RNA
Source: RNAcentral
CGGGCAGGCGGUAGCUCAAGUCGGACGUGAAAGCUCCUGGCUUAACCGGGAGAGGCCGUUCGAAACUGAGCGACUAGAGGGCAGUAGAGGGGCGUGGAAUUCCGGGUGGAGUGGUGAAAUGCGUAGAGAUCCGGAGGAACACCAGAGGCGAAGGCGGCGCCCUGGGCUGCACCUGACGCUGAGCCGCGAAAGCCAGGGUAGCGAACG